This 1071-nucleotide long non-coding RNA is filed under the name Marmota monax (woodchuck). The record is from RNAcentral. Lineage: Eukaryota; Metazoa; Chordata; Mammalia; Rodentia; Sciuridae.
UCCUGCCUCAGCCUCUACCAUUUUCUUUUAAUGUUUCUUUGGGGGUUUGGAGAGCUAGGCAAGUGCUCUACCACUGAGCUAUAUCUCCAGCUCCCACCAUUUCCUUAAGUAUAAAAAGUCUUUCCUUCGAUUGUAUCAUUUUAGCUGGGUACUGAAGAUGGAAUGAGAGUUCUCCAGGGACAGAGGUAGGAGGGAAUCUGAAUUAGGGGAGAAGGGUAUCUAUAGGGCACAUAGCUUGUGCAUGGCUUAUUUGGGCCAUCUUAGAAAAUAUAGGACGGAAUGAAGGGAGGGGAAGGUUGGGAGUUUGCCAAGAGAUUGCAAAGUUGAGUUAGUGCCGAGGCCGUGUGUUCUAAAACUGAAGGGUCAGGGAAGCUGGAGGACAACUGAGGAGGUGUGGUCUAGUGGUGUGGUCUUCUGAUAGGGGACCGACAGACAGACGUGAGUGGUGGGACAGGAGGUUAAGGGAAUGAUUUUGUAAACUGGGGCCACUGUGCUGACCCCCACGUGCUUUUUUUUUCACCUUUGAAAAGCAAUUGACUUACAACCCUUUCUGGCUCAAGUCCCCAGGACCUACAUUCCCCAGGAAACUGCCUGUUUUCUACAGGAGAAAUGCAGGCCCCAAAUAAUGCCGAAAAGGGAACACAAGUUACCCUGAAGUGUCGGGAGGGACUUUUGUGACCUUUACAUAGACCAGACCUCAGAACUCAGGAGAUGAGGAUAAUUCCUCCUAACCAUAAAAUCUAAAAACAGGUUCCAGCAUAGGUCAAAGUGACCUAGGGUUAUUACGAUAGUGAAGGCUCGAAAGUCUGAUGUCAUCUCAUUGUCAGUCAAAAGUCAAGAGGUGAACCAGGGCAAGAUUCUCCAGGAACUUCCCUGGAACUCCCAGUAAAACUGGAGGGCACGCCUAUGAUCCCCUCAACUCAGGAGGCUGAGGCAGGAGGGUUACAAGUUUGAGGCCAGACUCAGCAACUUAGUGAGGCCCUAGGCAACUUAGUGAGACCCUGUCUCAAAAGAAAAAAAAUAAAAAGGACUAGGGAUGUGACUUAGUUGUAAAGUGCCCCUGUGUUAAAU